UUUUAGCCCCGGGAGUAGUGGCAUCCUUUGUUGCCGGGGUUCGGCAACAAAGAUAUAGCGAAUCACGGGACGAUGC
Small RNA from Flavobacterium succinicans, 76 nucleotides. It matches the Rfam family "Flavo-1 RNA". The record is from Rfam. NCBI's taxonomy places the organism in Bacteria, Pseudomonadati, Bacteroidota, Flavobacteriia, Flavobacteriales, Flavobacteriaceae.